GACGAACUCUGGCGGCGUGCCUAAUACAUGCAAGUCGAGCGGACCGGAUUGGGGCUUGCCUUGAUUCGGUCAGCGGCGGACGGGUGAGUAACACGUGGGCAACCUGCCCGCAAGACCGGGAUAACUCCGGGAAACCGGAGCUAAUACCGGAUAACACCGAAGACCGCAUGGUCUUCGGUUGAAAGGCGGCCUUUGGGCUGUCACUUGCGGAUGGGCCCGCGGCACAUUAGCUAGUUGGUGAGGUAACGGCUCACCAAGGCGACGAUGCGUAGCCGGCCUGAGAGGGUGACCGGCCACACUGGGACUGAGACACGGCCCAGACUCCUACGGGAGGCAGCAGUAGGGAAUCUUCCGCAAUGGGCGAAAGCCUGACGGAGCGACGCCGCGUGAGCGAAGAAGGCCUUCGGGUCGUAAAGCUCUGUUGUGAGGGACGAAGGAGCGCCGUUCGAAGAGGGCGGCGCGGUGACGGUACCUCACGAGAAAGCCCCGGCUAACUACGUGCCAGCCGCCGCCGUAA
Molecule: ribosomal RNA, 517 nt
Filed under: uncultured bacterium
Lineage: Bacteria
Description: partial 16S ribosomal RNA
Rfam family: Bacterial small subunit ribosomal RNA
Source: RNAcentral